Molecule: small RNA, 1262 nt
Filed under: Pan troglodytes (chimpanzee)
Lineage: Eukaryota; Metazoa; Chordata; Mammalia; Primates; Hominidae
Description: retained intron
Source: RNAcentral
AGAAGCUUUUUUUCCCUGCCCUCUAGGCACAGUAGCUUUGGCACUAACUGCAAAAGGAUCUGCCAUGAUUCCAGGUUACACAAUGCGAGUGGGCCUCUCACUGACUGUGGUCCGUAGCCUGAGGGCUCUGUGAGUCACCACAUCGUCGCUGUCAUUUCAGGUGAACCACUGUCUACCAGAGAAGAUUGUGGUGUACCGUGAUGGAGUGUCUGAUGGCCAACUGAAGACAGUUGCCAACUAUGAGAUUCCUCAACUACAGAAGUGUUUUGAAGCUUUUGAGAAUUAUCAGCCCAAGAUGGUGGUGUUUGUAGUUCAGAAGAAAAUCAGUACUAAUCUAUAUCUGGCUGCUCCUCAGAACUUUGUAACUCCCACUCCUGGAACUGUGGUAGAUCAUACAAUAACAAGCUGUGAGUGGGUGGAUUUCUAUCUUCUUGCCCAUCAUGUACGGCAGGGCUGUGGCAUUCCUACGCAUUAUGUCUGUGUUCUCAACACCGCAAACCUGAGCCCUGAUCAUAUGCAGAGGCUGACUUUCAAACUGUGCCACAUGUACUGGAAUUGGCCUGGCACCAUCAGAGUUCCAGCUCCUUGCAAGUAUGCCCACAAGCUAGCUUUCCUGUCAGGACACAUCUUGCAUCAUGAACCAGCCAUCCAGCUGUGCGAGAACCUGUUCUUCCUGUGACUGCACAGCUUGGAGAUGGGCUGGUGAGAAGAAAGGCGGCCUCUGAACUCAGCUGUGACUCUUGCAGAAUCAACAGAGACUGAAGUGGGCUUUUGUGUUAUAAUUUUCCCUUUCUCCAACCCUGUAGAAUAAGAUUUCUUUCUUGUCUUUUAAACCUAAUAUCACCAAGAAGCAAGUUUCUGAGUAACAGCUGAAAAUGGCCUUGUUGCCUGUGUAGAGCAAGUUACGGUGGUACUGCCACUCUGCAGGUGGAGCGGGUGACUCUGGGGGACCAUUAAGACCUCCAGACCGGGUGCGGUGGUUCACGCCUGUAAUCCAAGCACUUUGGGAGGCCGAGGCGGGUGGAUCAUGAGGUCAGGAGAUCAAGACCAUCCUGGCCAACAUGGUGAAACCCCGUCUCUACUAAAAUACAAAAAAAUUCGCCGGGUGUGGCGGUGCACGCCUGUAGUCCCAGCUACUCAGGAGGCUAAGGCAGGAGAAUCACUUGAACCCGGGAGGUGGAGGUUGCAGUGAGCCGAGAUCACGCCACUGCACUCCAGCCUGUUGACAAAGCAAGACUCUGUCUCAAAAAAAAAAAAAAAAA